This 253-nucleotide ribosomal RNA is filed under the name uncultured bacterium. RNAcentral's name for it is "partial 16S ribosomal RNA". It matches the Rfam family "Bacterial small subunit ribosomal RNA", at positions 524 to 776 of the family's 1533-position model. The record is from RNAcentral.
UACGUAGGGUGCGAGCGUUAAUCGGAAUUACUGGGCGUAAAGCGUGCGCAGGCGGUUCGCCGCGUCCGAUGUGAAAGCCCCGGGCUUAACCUGGGAAUGGCAUUGGAAACUGGCGGGCUGGAGUAUGGCAGAGGGGGGUGGAAUUCCACGUGUAGCAGUGAAAUGCGUAGAGAUGUGGAGGAACACCGAUGGCGAAGGCAGCCCCCUGGGUUAACACUGACGCUCAUGCACGAAAGCGUGGGGAGCAAACAGG